RNAcentral lists this transfer RNA (26 nucleotides) under Trichinella nativa. RNAcentral's name for it is "partial tRNA-Val". Lineage: Eukaryota; Metazoa; Nematoda; Enoplea; Trichinellida; Trichinellidae. The record is from RNAcentral.
CCUAGAGCAUAAUAUAAUAAGUAUAU